AUUGAACGCUGGCGGCAGGCCUAACACAUGCAAGUCGAACGGUAACAGGAAGAAGCUUGCUUCUUUGCUGACGAGUGGCGGACGGGUGAGCAAUGUCUGGGAAACUGCCUGAUGGAGGGGGAUAACUACUGGAAACGGUAGCUAAUACCGCAUAACGUCGCAAGACCAAAGAGGGGGACCUUCGGGCCUUUUGCCAUCGGAUGUGCCCAGAUGGGAUUAGCUUGUUGGUGGGGUAACGGCUCACCAAGGCGACGAUCCCUAGCUGGUCUGAGAGGAUGACCAGCCACACUGGAACUGAGACACGGUCCAGACUCCUACGGGAGGCAGCAGUGGGGAAUAUUGCACAAUGGGCGCAAGCCUGAUGCAGCCAUGCCGCGUGUAUGAAGAAGGCCUUCGGGUUGUAAAGUACUUUCAGCGGGGAGGAAGGGAGUAAAGUUAAUACCUUUGCUCAUUGACGUUACCCGCAGAAGAAGCACCGGCUAACUCCGUG
RNAcentral lists this ribosomal RNA (490 nucleotides) under uncultured bacterium. RNAcentral's name for it is "partial 16S ribosomal RNA". It matches the Rfam family "Bacterial small subunit ribosomal RNA", at positions 30 to 507 of the family's 1533-position model. The record is from RNAcentral.